Molecule: ribosomal RNA, 492 nt
Filed under: uncultured bacterium
Lineage: Bacteria
Description: partial 16S ribosomal RNA
Rfam family: Bacterial small subunit ribosomal RNA
Source: RNAcentral
AGUGAACGCUGGCGGUAUGCCUAACACAUGCAAGUCGAACGGCAGCACAGUAAGAGCUUGCUCUUACGGGUGGCGAGUGGCGGACGGGUGAGGAAUACAUCGGAACCUACUUUUUCGUGGGGGAUAACGUAGGGAAACUUACGCUAAUACCGCAUACGACCUACGGGUGAAAGCAGGGGAUCUUCGGACUUUGCGCGAUUGAAUGAGCCGAUGUCGGAUUAGCUAGUUGGCGGGGUAAAGGCCCACCAAGGCGACGAUCCGAAGCUGGUCUGAGAGGAUGAUGAGCCACACUGGAACUGGGACACGGUCCAGACUCCUACGGGAGGCAGCAGUGGGGAAUAUUGGACAAUGGGCGCAAGCCUGAUCAAGCCAUACCGCGUGGGUGAGGAAGGCCUUCGGGUUGUAAAGCCCUUUUGUAGGGAAAGAAAAGCAGCAGGUUAAUACCCCGCUGUUCUGACGGUACCCAAAGAAUAAGCACCGGCUAACUUCGUG